AGCAAACGCUGGCGGCGUGCCUAACACAUGCAAGUCGUACGAGGAAACACGUCCUGGAUGUGGAGUAAAGUGGCGCACGGGUGAGUAACACGUGGGUAACCUGCCCCCGACGAUCGGGAUAACUAGCCGAAAGGCUAGUUAAUACCGGAUAAGACCACAUGAGCUACGGCUCAAGUGGCCAAAGUCGGCCUCUCAACGAAGCCGGCACUCGAGGAUGGGCCCGCGGACCAUUAGCUUGUUGGCAGGGUAACGGCCUACCAAGGCUAAGAUGGUUAGCUGGUCUGAGAGGAUGAUCAGCCACACUGGAACUGAGACACGGUCCAGACUCCUACGGGAGGCAG
This 341-nucleotide ribosomal RNA is filed under the name uncultured Pseudomonadota bacterium. RNAcentral describes it as "bacterial SSU rRNA". It matches the Rfam family "Bacterial small subunit ribosomal RNA", at positions 29 to 351 of the family's 1533-position model. Lineage: Bacteria; Pseudomonadati; Pseudomonadota. The record is from RNAcentral.